Molecule: long non-coding RNA, 412 nt
Organism: Tarenaya hassleriana
Lineage: Eukaryota; Viridiplantae; Streptophyta; Magnoliopsida; Brassicales; Cleomaceae
Exons: 2
Source: RefSeq, a predicted model, not a curated record
CAGGUUUUCAGCGAGCACGGCAAAGUCAUGGAAGCCCGCGUGGUUUAUGACCGUGAGACAGGCCGUUCACGUGGUUUCGGGUUUGUUAAAAUGUCCAACGAGACCGAACUCAAUGACGCCAUUGCCGCCCUUGAUGGACAGAACAUGGAUGGAAGAGCGAUCAGAGUGAAUGUAGCGGAGGAACGGAGCAGAGGCAGGCGUGGGUUUUGAGAUAUGAAGAUGAAGAUGAAGAUGAAGAUGAUGAAGCCGUUUGUGACCUGUCUCUGAAUCUUGUUUUACUUUUCUUUGGAUGAGAUUUACUGUCUUUGACAAUUUUUGUCUGAAACUCCCAACACCUUCUUCAUUUGCCAUCCAUCCUUGUCUUGUCCCCUUUUCGGGUUUGGUUAUACAAAAUCGACAUAAUCUGAACAUC